Venturia canescens is the source of this 11253-nucleotide long non-coding RNA. RefSeq lists it as uncharacterized. Lineage: Eukaryota; Metazoa; Arthropoda; Insecta; Hymenoptera; Ichneumonidae. The record is from RefSeq and is a predicted model, not a curated record. The transcript is spliced from 5 exons.
CAGUCUGUCGAUAUAAGGUGCGUAUUAAAAAACCGCGGAUAAGGAAUUAUUGAAUCGCAUAUUUUUGUAUCUUGGUUUCCUAUAGCUACAAAAAAUUAUAUUAAUAUAAUGUUCUUAUUUCAGUAUAUAUAUAAUUGGUUUCUUUCCGCAUAUAUAUAUAUAUAUAUAUCCGCUUUUAUAUAACUCAUCUAUUAUAACCGUAUAUAAGCUGGCGUUUAUACAUACGGUAUAAUCGUCGUCUACAAUAAAAAAUUGAAAAAAAAAAACGUCUAGGUCAAUGAAAAAUGCAAGGCUGAGUUUUCAACGAAAAUUCUUUAAAUAUGAUCGCACAGACAAGGGUAAAAUGGAGUAUCGUAAAAAUAUGACAACGUCGCAAUGUAUGCCGUACAAAAGAAAAGGACGAUCAAAGUGACGCGUCAAGAGCUCUCUGCCGACGCGCAAAAUGUAGGGAGGGAGUGACCGCGUUGCAAAUAACAACGCCAAUGGCUUCAGCAGAAAAAUUGGAUUUUCAUUUAUUUUGUGGCAAUAAUCAAAUAAUACCUGUAUAAUUAUUAAAAUAUGUUACGCGUUGUUGACCUCUGCUAAAUUUCAACAAUAAAUAACGACUCUAUGUUGUAUAAGAAGUGGAAAUAAUGUGGAACUACUUUUUAUCGAUCCCGCGUAGUAACACAGUAUUCUUGGAUGACGAGGGGUAUAUAAAGCCCCACCCGGUGGCUCAUGAACGGCAUUCCUCAGAGCUAUCUGAAGCGGUGAAGACUGUAUCUCGCUCAACCGUAGCUUCGUAUAUCCCUCGUUUUAGAGGAUCUACAGUCAAAGGAUUUCUUUAGUUUUUUUUUUUUUUGUAAAUUCAGUUCUCAAAUGAUCAAUUCGUAACUUGCCCGAACACGAAGUGACGGAAAAGUGUGCCUCCACAACGAAAAAAUACGAGCUAGCUACAGUCUCCGCGCCGUUUGACAUGGCAAUGAGGGUCAAUGCGACGGGGGGAGAGAAAGAGAGAGGGAGAAUGAAAGGGAGGGAGUUUGAGAGAUGGGUGGAAUAUCUCGAAGAAUGAACCAGUUUGAGUGACAUCAUGAUCAACUACCGAGAUGUCAACCCGGGCGGCUUACCAUAACUGGGAGUGACAGAAUGAGAGGCGGCUGUGCUGCGCCCCCAGUUCGCUAUCGACGAUCCUACUGUUUGUAUUGGCUUCUCAUCAUCCUAGAAAUUCCUAUUGUGAGAGUGAGAGAAUAUGGGCAUGAAACGUAAUCUUCCGAUGCUGUCUGACCGUCGUCUUCUUAUCUGGCCUGUUGCUGCCGCCUAUAUAAGUCUACAUAAAAUACCGAAAUUGAAAGUUUGAAAAACAAUAUACAAAUGCGACCUCGGUGAGGAAUUUCUUUUUUUGUUCUGAGUUCUGGGAAUACUUGAUUGCGCAACGGGGGGCAAGAGAGGGGAGGAAGGAAAUCUGUGUUUUCUAGAAGUUGGACAAAGCUUGACUCGAGGUUGGUGGCACGUUUGUUGAAGAACUGCGAAAGGGAGAGAGAGAGGGAGAGAGGGAGGGACAGACAAAAACGAAAAAAUAUAGGUUCGACGCGACGAAUUCUAACGCUGUUUCAACCGCACCCGAGCACGAAUAAACAAAGAAACGGUUAUUUGUCCUUCGCACCCACACGUUCUUCUUCAUCAUCGCACUAUACCAUGAUCGAACCGAGACGAACAAUAGAAAAAACCAAAUCAUAGAAGCGUGACAAUCACGCGAUACGGCAAAAACAAAGCUGAUUACAGCUUGGUGAGCUGAUUCCAUGUUAAUUUUGAAAAUUUCCUUUGGCCACGAAUAUCCGCCUCGUGGAAGAAAGUAGUAGUCUUUUCCCAGGUACGAAGACAAUUUGGCUCCUUGGCAUUUCAUCCAAGAAUCAUGGAGAUCUGCUUCGCAAGCCGCGCCUGUCCAAGCCGUUGAGAAAAUUUCGGGCUUUUCUCGCCCGAAUCGUCAUCAACUCAUCGGCAAUUGGGACGCGCACCCGUGGUGGUUCUACAACUGCCGAUAUCCGCCCACACAACCCGUGACAUUCGAUCAUAAACAAAAAAAAUAACAGAUAAUAUGGUUCUCAGGUAUUCAGGAAUUUAUGCAUGAAACGUUUUAUGAAAAGAGUCACGAGAAUGAACAGUCUUUUGACGAAAAAAAUUCAUUAGAAAAUUCUUCAUAUUCGCCACAAAGAAUUUGUGCUAAAUAUUGUACUUAUAUGCGUGGACACGUCUACAUUCAAGUUUAUAACAGGAUCAAUCGUCUUUCGUUUAACCUCUAAGAAAUUUAAAAAAUGAAAAAAAAAAAAAAUCCCUAUGAGGGGACGUCGCAAUAACGAUAUUUUCACAGAUCACGAAAGGGGAUGGUGGCCUGAGUUUGCACGGAGCUAUUUGGCGAUUAUCCGGGUGCCAAGAUAGAUCGAAAAAAAGAGAGAGAGAGAGAGAGAAAAAAACAAGUGUGUUGCGCGUUAGUGGUGUGUUCUAGAUCGAAGGGAGAACCGGCGAAUUUCUCACGUUCAAAAUUCAUCCUGCCAGAGGAUUGUACCGAGCGGCGGUCAGUGCACAGUCGAGCGAAUGAAUUAUAGUACGGAGGAGGUACACGUGUCUUACAAUCAUUUAAUUUAAAAAAAACUAUUCCAUAUCGAGAACUUGACAUAAACCUACGAUAUCGUGCACUCUGUCACUAUUUUUGUUGCUAUCGUGUAAGGGGGAGCGGGGGGAAUUCUGUGAACAAGUUAUUUUCACUUCAGCACAAUUCGAGCAUAAAACACCGGAUUGGUGGAAACCAGAACAGCACCCCUUGAUGAUCUCUCUUCAGGAUGACGCAAAGUUGGAGACGCAAGACCCAACCGAUCCCGAAUCGUUACGUAAAAGCUUAAUUUAUAUCCCAUUUGACACAGUGGUAACAAUAACAACUUGGAUUUGAAAAAAGAUGGUACCGAACAUGUGGGCUGGGAAAACUGGGAAAACGCUUAUUUUUAGUCGCAGGAAGAACGGCAUUUGUUGUAAAAAACGAAAACAGAGAAGAAGAACGGGAGUAAGGGCGGACUGUGCGCAACAAAGAAUAUAAGGCAAGUCGCAUGAGAGGAUACGCGUCGAUGUGGGUUGAGAACGAUGCGAGUACACUUAGGAGCAAUCUGCGCGUCUGAAACCUCGAAGGUAUAAUUGAGGGUUCAAAAAUGAAUCGGGAGGGGGAAAUCUGGGGUCUUUGUUUUUCAUCGCCGCAGGAAUAAGUCGUACCCGUGGACUGGCGAUCUGUUCGAGCGGGUGUUAAAGAGAGAGGGUAUUUUUAUCGCUGCGUCGGAUGAUACACCUUAGAACCAUGUCCGUGAGCUGAUCAUACAUUUUUCUCGAGCAUACGCACACAUAUCAUUCGGACGAGAAGGUGAUCCGGAAAUCUGACAAGUAACUGAACAAAUUGGGUUGACCGAUAAAUUUUAAUCGCGAUGAGUAUAAAAACACCAACUGCUGACGAUAUAUUAGUGAGAAACAGUAAAAUUUUAUCUUAACAUCUAGCAACUAAGUAAAUUUCUGGGCCUCUGCAUGUCGUCUUGUUUAUGAUUCUUUUUUUUUUUGUCAUUUUCAUCUGUUGAAGUAUCGUCUGCAAUAAUCCAUCGUUGAAAUAUCUCCUAACCAUGGUGUCAUGUUAUUUGAUUGUUGACGAUGUAUUGGGGCGGGAAUUUCAACGUCGGGCAACGAAAACAAAUUUUGUUUUUUGAGCCACAGGAUCUGCGAUGCGAGCGCAUACGCGUUAAUGGCUCUGGCGCCUUAGGGCACAGACGGUGGAUAGAGAACUCCGAGCCGGAAAUGACGAAAAAUCGAGGGUAGGCGGGAGAGAGAGAGAGAGAGAGAGAGAAUAUCCCAAAAAAAUCACCAAUACGUGAGAACCAUACACGAACAUUUUCAUAUUAAUCAUUCUACAAGGAAUAUACGAGAAAAAUUACAAUUUAUGGUCGAUAUUUUGGUCACGUGCAAACAUUUUUUUUUCAUCUUAUGGCUCGAAGAUGCUUGUUACAUUAUUCUCCGAUGUCUUGUGAAAUUUAUUUCUCAGAUAUUGCGUGGCCAUUAUUAACUUUUCGAUGAGAAAUUUGUUGAUCCGAGAAAGCAAACGAGGUAACACUCUACUGAACUUUUCUUUCGUAAACAUAUACAUUUAUCUACUGAUACGAAUAUUGCGAUCGUAGAUAGAGAUAUUCAGAAUUGGCUUUCUAGUAGCGAAUUUCUAACUAUUGUUUGUAUAUUUUUUGUAUUUUAUCAGAACAAUCGUGUAGCAUCGCAUGAGUGUUCCAGUCACCAUGAUUUUAUUCGAGCUUCGUGCUUUGUCGGGGAUGCCCUUCGUUUUUUGUUUAUUUUUAGUAACUUUAAGCGAAGAUUAAUAUGAGAGAUAUAGCAACUGCGAUCGUCAAGUGACGAUCAAGGAAUGAGACAAGUAGAACGAAAAAUUACAGACCAAAGAUAUAACAGGCUGUCUCGAUAAUGGAAGAAUAACGGAAAGAAACACGAGAACUUUGGAACGUAUGAAAUUAUGUCCAAUUCUUUGGCGAAAAUAUGUCGGAUAGAUCUACCGUUUGUCAUCCAGGUAAUCGAAGAAUUUUCGCAAGCGGGUUUUAUGGGGAGGGCAUAUUAAUAAUUUUUUUUUUAGAGAGCACAAAAGAAAAUUCUAGGUUGAUGCUUUGAUGAUGAAUAGAGGCUUGAAAAGAUAAUUUUCAUCGAGUUACGAAAUUUCAAACUAUAUCGGACCCAGAGAAACAAACCGAAUGCAGUGUAUUUUAUUGAUUUACUCGAGCGAAAAGCACGCACGCUUAUUAAAAGUCUGGAAAAUGGAUUAACAGAGGUUUCUGUUGCCUGGAUUAAUAUCGAUUGCCAUUGUUGAGAACGAAACAAUAAUCACACUCCGGGCACCGUUCGCUGAAGAAAAUUCUGCGCGCUCACGUUUUGUUGAAUGAAAAAAAAACAAUACGAAUCGUCCGCACCAAAGAGAUUCCAGUUCAGUUUGACACCGCAUUCGUCACAACCGACGACCGUUCUUUUUUUCAUCAUAAAAGUAUUUAUGAUCCCAAGUGGCCCCACUUUCAGCUCCCUUUUGUUUUACAUUCGGUGUUACAAUAAUUCAACUUCUAUUGUCAAAAGUUGAGGAAUUCAAUUUUUGAUAUGUCAGCAAAUUAGAAAAAAUUGUGAUUGUUCUUUCUAUUUAUGAAUUUGUUAUCGCCAAAAAGUUUGAAGCUUAAAAUAGUGAAAUUGAAAGUUGUGUUGUGCCGCAGUAACUCUAAUAUCUGAUUGUGCAGGUUACAAAAGUUUAAUCAUUGAAUGUGUCAAGUUUUAUCGUCAAAAACAUUCCAAAAACGAAAAUGGUAUAGCCCGUCGCAAAUUAUUAGAUGUUCUCGGCUUUUGAGCAUCCAUGCUCAAACUUACUUUUGAUGAGAAUGAUUACGAGCUUCUGAUGUGAAAUUUCAUUUAAUUUACACGUCUGAAACUAAGCGAUCCCAGAACACGUGGAUGCGUUUAUUAAUUGGUGCGAAUUCCAAUGUUAUCCUCCAAACCAUAAUUCUUGGUGAGGCUGAAACAAGAGAGUGGCUGCGGAACUGGACGAACUAGAAACUUGCGUUACAAGUGGCUUUGUUGCUAGAAGAAUUCGGUGAGUGGUUUUAUUAAAAAACAAACGAAAAAAUGAACUCGCACCUUUCCCGGCAGUCGAAAGUAAUUAACAUAGCAUUGUAAACAUAACUACGAAUUUUACGAUAUCUUGUUAAUACGAGUAGUGUAUCGUAUAUAUUUUGUUCUAGUACGCUGUUCUGUAUUGCGCGUAUAGCCCCAAAUAUUUUGCUUGAAGAAUGUGUCGAUUUAUCAAAAUUUUUUUUUGACAAAAAGGAGAAAAAAAAUAUCGUGUGCGAUGCCCAGUGGGAUUGAAUGGUAUAUGACAAUCAGUCGUUAUUGUCCAAAGUAUUUUGUACUAAUGUACUCGCACAUUUCGUCUGGGUCUCAAUAAAUCAUGUUUUAUGUGGUGGGGUUGGGCUGGGGGCUACUAAUUUUCUUGAUCCGUAUUUUUAAAGGUAUUUCAGAAGAUGAAAAACCGUACUCUGCGAUUCAAUAUUAGUAUCAUUGAAGAAAAGAAAGCUGUCAUCUGGUAAUGCACAUGAGUGCAUUACCACAUGCGCAUGCAUGAAUGUACUUGGCCAUAUCGAGCGACUUCUUUGGCGACAUUGUCGACUUUUGAAAAUGGAGCAUGCUAUGUGGUUUCGUCACCUUUAGAUGCAUCUGUAAUAUUGAGAUCGUUUGGAUUUUUGCGCGGAUACAUCGUGCGGCGAUAAGAUAUAACAGAAAGAAGGCGAGAGAAAACUAUCGACGCGCAUACCGUAAGGUCUUUUGACACGAAGAAAGUUGUUAUCUCUAUGGUGCACCGAUUUUCAUUUAUCUACUCUCGUCACGUAUCUACGUUAUGAAUUCUCUUGUUGACCAUACUCGAAGUAUUACGACGUCUAGCUACCGAAAGGAUUUGCGAGAACGAGACAAACAAAACCAAAUAUUUCACCGUCCCUUAGCCAACAAGGUACGCACUUAAGAUGUUAUAAAUGAUUCCUGUUGGAAGAAUAAUUUGGCUCACAUAUAUGAUAGACAUCAAAUCGUUGCACGAAAUUGGUCCGAUGUUUGUGGCUGAUGGCUGAAAAAUGAGGGAAAAUGAGUUUUGGAAAGUUAUGCAUUGUUUUUCCGGUGCUGGGCAACCAGCAACGAUAUUCGUUUUUUUGGCACUGUUUUAACAUAGAUAUCUCGUAAAUUCCGGAUGGAUACGGACGUCCAAAGACAAGCCAAACCAACGAAGAUCAGAUCGACCGAGUUUGGGAAAACUUUGAAGAAUUUCAAUGUUUGACGAUUUUCUCGGGCGGACUAGAAGACACCCGUAUGUUUUUAAUUCAUUUAAAGGCGAGUCCCCAUAAUUACCUAUGAAGCUAAACAAAAAAGCAACGGGACGCGGCUACAAUGUGAGGCAGCAUCGGAAACGAUAGGCGAUAUGCACGUUUUUUUCCUUCUACGAUUCCAAGUCAAGAGCGAAACGGAGGUGCACUCUCCUUUCUUGAGUAGGGUGGAUAUGAGAAAUUUAUGCGGGUACGUGGAAGAUGGAAAAUCCCUGAUGCCGAUUGACCGAAUACUGCGAAAUCCGUGAGAAAGGCGCACCUGUGCGAUUUACGUGAGUUUACAACCCUUUGCCCUUUUAUUUUUCGAUCCCUCACCUUGUGCCCGUUCUUUAACAAAGUGUUUUAGAAAACUUGCACCGAAACCUUGCACGAUAAGCUGAGAAAUAUUGUUAAGGCUCCAUAUAUCCACUUCGGAGAACACAGUAUUAUUAUCUGUGAAAGAUAACGAGAAAAAGGUUCAACGCUGGCGAUCCAAUAUACCCGAUUGCGGUCUUCUGACGGGUUUUUGGUCUUCUCAUCUUCACUCUUCAGUUCUCUUAGCAUUGGUGGGCGCCGCGAUGAAAGCACAAAAUUCCGAAUGGGACGUUUCCAGCUGCUUCGAAUUUCUUUGAGUUUCAAUGGAUUGGCUGAUUAAACGGUCUUCAAUCCUAAAAAGAAUCCUGUCUCCCAACUUUCUCAGCAGUAAAGAUCUUCCGGAUCGAUUCGGCAGGUGUUGCAGCAAUUGCAAGACUUUUCAGGGCUGAUGAUACCAAUUGAGCGUGAUCCUCGAUACGAAAAACGGAUAUUGUUCAGAGAACGGGUUAUUCAACUGUUCUGCUCUCUUUACGUUCUGCGCGAGAUGACUGCGCUCUUGUCUUUCCUUCCAAGGUUACUUUUCCGAUAAUUGCCGAAGCUUCGACCGUCAUUGCAAAUCAUCUUCCUGAUCGUCGCAUCUUGAUCUUCUUUGUCAUCUCGCGAGUCUGUGGUUUAUGUUGAGCGGCGUCUGUCGUAACGGAUGGUCUGGACCUUCGGCCUGUGUGUUUUGCGGAUUUCGUUGAUUGACAACUAAUGCUGCGUAAAAAACUUCAUUUGACUAGAAGAGACAUCGCCUCACCAAAAUCAAAAGAUUAUUUGUGCGAAACUACUCGGAGAGCUCAAUUUUCUGUUCAUCAUUAUCCUUCCUUCUGCAAAUAAAUAAACGACAAGAAGAAUACCCGGACCUUCCUGUUCCAUUCCGGAUCAAUCUGCUGAAAAAUUCUUUGUCACAAAAAAAACAUCUUUAAAGUACUUCGUACGUCCUGUUUAGAAAAAUACAUAAAAAAAAAUAUAAAAAUGAAGAAAUAUAUACACAAAAAGAUGAAAAAAAACGAAAAAACGAAUAAAAAAAUGUAAAAAAAAAUUGAAUUGAAAAAAAAAACGCUACACGUAUGAAAACAGUAAAACAUGUAUGUUCAAGGGAACAAAAAGUUACUUACAAAAAAAGCAAAAUAAAUGGAUGUGAGGAUUAGGAAAAGAUGUGGAAUGGGCUUUCAGGUACUAGAUACAAGUAAAUCGCCACCAGAAAGGAUCUCCAUGAUGGAAUACUGUCAACAAAAGUUUCGACAGUCGAAGAUUCACUAUACGCAUCUUUAACGAGAUUUUCCGGAUUCGAUUUCAACGACAAGUGAUCUUCUAGAUAGGACAUGGAGAGCUUCUGGGUUCGACUUCAACGACGAGUGAUCUUCUAUGCUGGGCAUCGACAACGAGGGAUCUUCUGAAUGAGGAACAUUAACAGCGCGGGAUCUUCUGGAUUGGACUUCAACGACGAGUGAUCUUCUAGACUGGGCAUCGACGACGAGGGAUCUUCUGAAUGGGGGACAUCAACAGCGCGGUAUCUUGUGGAUUGGACUUCAACGACGAGGGAUCUUUUGAAUGAGGGACAUCAACAGCGCGGGAUCUUCUGGAUUGGACUUAAACGACGAGCGAUCUUCUGAAUGGGGGACAUCAACAGCGCGGGAUCUUCUGGAUUGGACUUCAACGACGAGCGAUCUUUUAGACUGGGCAUCGACGACGAGGGAUCUUCUGGAUUGGACUUCAACGACGAGUGAUCUUCUAGACUGGGCAUCGACGACGAGGGAUCUUCUGAAUGGGGGACAUCAACAGCGCGGUAUCUUGUGGAUUGGACUUCAACGACGAGGGAUCUUUUGAAUGAGGGACAUCAACAGCGCGGGAUCUUCUGGAUUGGACUUAAACGACGAGCGAUCUUCUGAAUGGGGGACAUCAACAGCGCGGGAUCUUCUGGAUUGGACUUCAACGACGAGUGAUCUUCUAUACUGGGCAUCGACGACGAGAGAUCUUCUGAAUGGGGGACAUCAACAGCGCGGGAUCUUGUGGAUUGGACUUCAACGACGAGCGAUCUUCUAGACUGGACAUCGACGACGAGGGUUCUUCUGGACGGGAUACAUCGACCGCAAGGGAUCUUCUCAACUGGGGACAUUGACGGCGAGGGAUUGUCUGGACGGGCGACAUCGACGACGCUGGAUUUUUCGAUGGGGGACAUCGACGCCGCGCAAGAUUUCUUAGAAUUUCUGGUCUAGACAUCGAUGACUCGAGAAUUCCAGAAUCGGAAAUCGACGAUGCGGCUGUUUCAGGAUUGGACAUCAAGGAUCUAAAAACGGACAUAAAGGACUUUAUUAGUUUGAAUACCGGUGAUGGAAACUUCCCGAACGGGCAGCGUUCCGCAAAUCUUAUGGAUUCAAUGACAACUUUGUCCGUUCAAAAUCGACUACAAGGAUAUCUCAGCUUCUCGGAUUAAACAGUUAUAGAACCGAAUUAUUGUUCUCGAUAACGUAUAUCGACACGGAACUUAAUAGGAUAGCUGAUCUGAGACGGACCAUCACCAAACUUUGCGGAAUUUUUUUUUGUUCUGAGGAGAAAGCCAAUGAUGAGGAACAGGACGAUCAUCAUGAGCAUUUCAUGGAUCGUAGAUUGGCCGUAGAUUUUUCCAAAGCUUCGUUCUCGAAUUGAUCUACUGUAAUAUAAAUUCAAAUUCUCUAAUAUGUUAAAAAUCCAUGUCUGCAUUCAUGAUAUUGGAUUGGAGAAAAAAAAAUAGAAAAUGAAAAAAAAAAACAAAGGAAAAAAAUUAAAAUUAAAAAAAAGAAAGAGUGAAAAAAAAAUAAAAUACAUGAAGUGUAACUAAAAUUUGAGAAAUAACGUAGAAUUCAAUCAAAAAAUGGCAUGGCAAAUAAUGGAAAUAAGUGUUAAACGAAAAAAUUGGAAAUUUUACAGAAAAAACUACACUCGAGCAAAAAAUAUGAGCAAAAAGAGAUUUUCUCAGGGGAGGUUUUCAGAUGUGAAGAAAGAAAACUUCGCAAAAAAGAAUUUUAUAUAACGAGUUUUCCAACUAAAAUGACAGUGAACAUGACGUGUGAUGUCAACUCUUCUGGACGACAACGUGGGAUUCAAACUCUGAAAUAUUAACGUGGAAUUUUGGACUCUUGGAUAUCUUUACCAUUGGACGCUAUUUUACUGUAAUCUUCUUAAACAGAAAGCGUUUGAAACUUUAAUAGCAUGAGAAUCUCUAACAUUGGGAAUCAAUUUCCAAUUUUGAUAUCGACGUGACAGCGAAGUGGACGUUAAUUGAACAGAAAAAAACUUGUAUUUUUUACUUUUAAAAUUUGUACGUGACAAAUUGCGACCUCAAAUUGACGACAAUGAAGAAUCUGAAAUUUCCUCCUAAAUCGAACACCAUUACGGGAUUCGGCUGAAAUAAUGGUACUGGAUUAUUCGAUCGGGACUGCGACGAGGGACUCUGACGAGACGGCGGCGUGGGACUCGAACGGGACGGCGGCGAGGGACUCUGACGGGACGGCGGCGAGGGACUCGGACGGGACGGCGGCGAGGGACUCGGACGGGACGGCGGCGAGGGACUCGGACGGGUCGGCGGCGAGGGACUCGGACGGGACGGCGGCGAGGGACUCGGACGGGACGGCGGCGAGGGACUCGGACGGGACGGCGGCGAGGGAUUCGGACGGGACGGCGAUGAGGGACUCGGACGACAACAAAGAAUUUUACAAAUGUUUGAAAAUCUAGCUUUAUCAUGGAAUAGGUAUCAUAUGUACCUAUUCCAAUCAAAUUACUUCGAACCAGCUUGAACUUUUUGCAACCCGUCAAUCAAAUUAUAAGCUGAACUCGACGUGCGUUUGAAAAAAAGUUGGAAAUUAUUUUUUAUUAUUAUUUGAUAGAAUUAUGUAAAUGAAAAUUCGACAAAAAAAAUCAUUCAUAUGAUUAAUAUGUCAAAUUCAUCGACUAUGUAUGACAAAAUAAAUGCACAAUUUUAUAUCUGGGAGCAUGAGAAUGAAUAAAAAUGAUACCAACUAUACAUAAA